UGCGGAGGGAUCAUUACCGAGUUUACAACUCYCCAAACCCCUGUGAACAUACCUAUAAUUUGCCUCGGCAGACUCAACGACGGUGCUCCGAGAAAUCGGGCGCCGCUCGCUGCCAGAGGAACCCCAAACUCUAUGUAUUCUUGUGGAUCUUCUGAGUAAAACAAAACAAAUAAAUCAAAACUUUCAACAACGGAUCUCUUGGUUCUGGCAUCGAUGAAGAACGCAGCGAAAUGCGAUAAGUAAUGUGAAUUGCAGAAUUCAGUGAAUCAUCGAAUCUUUGAACGCACAUUGCGCCCGCCAGUAUUCUGGCGGGCAUGCCUGUUCGAGCGUCAUUUCAACCCUCAAGCCCCCCGGGCUUGGUGUUGGGGAUCGGCGAUAGUCGCCGUCCCCCAAAUCUAGUGGCGGUCUCGCUGUAGCCUCCAUUGCGUAGUAGCUAACACCUCGCAACUGGAACGCGGCGCGGCCAAGCCGUUAAACCCCCAACUUCUGAAUGUUGACCUCGGAUCAGGUAGGAAUACCCGCUGAACUUAAGCAUAUC
This 538-nucleotide ribosomal RNA is filed under the name Fusarium decemcellulare. RNAcentral's name for it is "eukaryotic LSU rRNA". The stretch from base 179 to 332 matches the Rfam family "5.8S ribosomal RNA". Lineage: Eukaryota; Fungi; Ascomycota; Sordariomycetes; Hypocreales; Nectriaceae. The record is from RNAcentral.